CACGUAGGGAGCGAGCGUUGUCCGGAUUCAUUGGGCGUAAAGCGCGCGCAGGCGGCUUGGAAAGUCGGGUGUGAAAACUCGGGGCUCAACCCCGGGCGUGCAUCCGAUACUGCCAGGCUUGAGGCAGGUAGGGGAGAUCGGAAUUCCAGGUGUAGCGGUGAAAUGCGUAGAUAUCUGGAGGAACACCGGUGGCGAAGGCGGCAUCCUGGACCAACACUGACGCUGAUGAGCGAAAGCCAGGGGAGCAAACGGG
RNAcentral lists this ribosomal RNA (253 nucleotides) under uncultured bacterium. RNAcentral describes it as "partial 16S ribosomal RNA". It matches the Rfam family "Bacterial small subunit ribosomal RNA", at positions 524 to 776 of the family's 1533-position model. The record is from RNAcentral.